Molecule: ribosomal RNA, 981 nt
Filed under: uncultured eukaryote
Lineage: Eukaryota
Description: bacterial SSU rRNA
Rfam family: Eukaryotic small subunit ribosomal RNA
Source: RNAcentral
GAUAGCUUAUCCUAAUGGAUAACUGUGGUAAUUCUAGAGCUAAUACAUGUUACAAACCCCGACUCACGAAAGGGUGCGUUUAUUAGAACAAAGCCAAUCAGAUUUCGGUCUGUCUCAGGUUGACUCUGAAUAACUUAGCUAAUCGCAUGGUCUUCGUACCGGCGAUGUAUCUUUCAAAUGUCUGCCUUAUCAACUGUUGAUGGUAGAUUAUGCGCCUACCAUGGUUGUAACGGGUAACGGAGAAUCAGGGUUUGAUUCCGGAGAGGGAGCCUGAGAAACAGCUACCACAUCCAAGGAAGGCAGCAGGCACGCAAAUUACCCACCCCCAGCUCGGGGAGGUAGUGACGAAAAAUAACGAGACGUUGCUCUUUGAGUAUCGUCAUCGGAAUGAGUACAACCUAAAUACUUUAACGAGUAUCUAUUGGAGGGCAAGUCUGGUGCCAGCAGCCGCGGUAAUUCCAGCUCCAAUAGCGUAUAUUAAAGCUGUUGCGGUUAAAAAGCUCGUAGUUGGAUCUGAGACAAGAAACUGCGGUCCCCACAUGGGUUGUACUGCACGUUUCGGUCUAUGCAGUUGGUUGGUCCACAGUGCUCUUAAUUGAGUGUUGUGUGCUACUGACUACUUUACUUUGAAAAAAUUAGAGUGCUUAAAGCAGGCGUCUGCUCGAAUAUUGGUGCAUGGAAUAAUAAAAUAGGGCCUUGGUUCUAUUUUGUUGGUUUUAGGAGCACGAGGCAAUGAUUAAGAGAAACAGACGGGGGCAUUUGUAUUGCGACGUUAGAGGUGAAAUUCUUGGAUCGUCGCAAGACAAACAACUGCGAAAGCAUUUGCCAAGAAUGUUUUCAUUAAUCAAGAACGAAAGUUAGAGGUUCGAAAGGCGAUCAGAUACCGCCCUAGUUCUAACCGUAAACGAUGCCAACUAGAGAUUCGCAGAGUUAGUUUACGACUCUGCGAGCAGCUUCCCGGGAAACCAAAGUGUUUGGGUU